GACACCCCGGGGGGAUAUGGGAUUGGGGACACAAUCAGGGGUGACAGGAGGGAGAUGAGGAGAGCCCCAGUAUUCCUUGGCAGAGCCCCUUCUUCCCCCUUUAAAGAAAGGGCAAACACGAGCGUAUGGGAGGGGUGGUGUGCACCCCUCCUACCCACCUGGGCUCCCAGCGCCCGGAGCAGGGAGGUGAGGCUGCGCAGGCUGCUGACAGCUUUGUCCACGUGGAGCCGCAGGGUCUCCGACGCCUGCGAGGAGUUGGCUAACAAGGCCCGGCCCCGCAGGAUGGCCUCUGAGAGCAGGGACAGGCCCUGCCAGACCUCCAGGGCCUGCUGCCCAACCUAAAGGAAGCGGGGACAUGGAAUCAGUCCGCCCAAGCCAUGCCCGCCCUGCCCCAGUCACCAAGCAGCAAACAGCAAGUAUGCAAUGAGCCAGGUUCCCAAACUGAGACUCCCCAUGAGGAAGGAACGCACGGACUCACCUCCAUCCUCUUCCAGGUGUAGAAGUUAACCUUGGGGUCCGGGACUGUGAUAUUCUCACUCAAGCCGCAGCUGUCUGCAUAGCCCGCCUGAAAGUCACGACCCCAGGUCAGGGCCUCGGGGGUGCUCCGUGGCUCUGUCCCUCACCCAGCCUCCACGCACGCUUUGGGGGUCACCAGCUUUAUCAUUUUUUGGCUUCCCCCUGGAAGGGGUCCAGGUUCCCAGAUCUGUAGGAAGAACCCGGACCCCCAAGAACGGGGGCGGUGGAAUGUGGGGACAGGACUCACCGUGACAUUCUCGGCCUCCUUGGCCUCCAGGAGGUACCUCUCCAGGAUUUGGCUGUCACAGAUGUGGCAUGGCGGGGACUCCAGGACCGGGAGGCCCAGAAGAGGCAGCAGCAGGGAGGGCAGAAGGAGCAGGGCAGGCCAUUCUAGAAAAGGGGGCCAGGCUGAGUGAGGGGGAGGCGGGCAGGAGAGGAAAAGGUUGGUGAGGGGGACACAUCCUGCUCCUCUGCGCCCCGCUUUCCCUCCUGACCCCAACCUCCGGAGCCCUGGGGCUCGGCCUCCGUUGCCUUCAUUCAUUCAGCUGCCGCGCGCCCACCCCGCCCCCAGCUACCGGCAUCCGCGUCUCGGGGCCAAACUUCAAUCCGGCCGGGACCGAGGCUGCCCCUCUCGCCGAUCCCGGUGGAGGCUCCAAGAUCCAGGGCACAGAGCACCUGGCCUGCUGUAGAGGACACACACGCACUUUGACAUCAUUUUUUUUCGAUCUGUGACAUCGGAUAGCCUGCGACACAAGAUUUUUAAGAACGCUGAAAUAAAGAGAACUCUAGCUAAUACACCAACUUCUGGGCAGUUGGACAUCUGUUCCCCAAGGAGCUUUAUUUGACACACAUUUGCCAUCCAACUCCUCCAGACGGUCAAGGGUUUCUGGAGCGGCCACUGUUUCCCCAGCCUGUGAUCAAGCACCAGGAGCUCACCUGGGUUGUAGAGAGUGCCAGGACACACCUCAGAGGGCCACCAGCCCAUCUAAACCAGCGAAUGUCCUGAGGCCUUUCCUUGUCCCUGCUAGGCCGGCGACAAUCAAAAGCUUGGUAGUGUGGGAAACAGGGCCUGAAGUUUCUCCUCUCCUUCCCACAUACUUGAGGUGGGGGCCUGGAACACUGGGCCCCUGCUGAGACAGAACACUGCCAAGGCACACCUCGUUAAAGUAAGCCCGGAUGUGAGAAUGUGGCUGAAGGACUGUUUUCUGUUAUUGUCCUUCAGAUUAAGAUAAGAACCAUUUGCAGACUGAUGUAAACAACCAUGGGAAAAUAUCUACGUGCACAGUAAAGCAUUACUCUACUCUAAAAGCAUAAUAACUAAGGGUCUGGGAACGGGGCUCACACACUCACCUGACAGGCGGUGUGUCCCCUGCUCCCAGUCUCUCAAAGAUAUUUUUGUCUUUAAUCUUAAUUUCUGCGUUGUCCCUGGCAACAUGGUAGAACUAAUAACCCAGCUUUGUGAGUUGAACACACAGAAUCACAUUCCUUCCCUUCUCCGCAUCCCGUUUAAGAGACCCCAUAUGACCCAAAAUGGCUCAUAGGAACAUCAGCCAAAAUCUACCAAGCCCUGACCACUGCCAAGAUGGACCCAAGUCCUAUACAAACUAUUUGUCUUCUUAAAUCCCUCUGUCCUGCUUUCUACCGUAAGUCUCUGGAGGAAGGACCAGUGGUUUAAACCUUUCCUGCAGGCCUGGCAUCCAACCCAGGUCCUUAAA
Long non-coding RNA from Choloepus didactylus (southern two-toed sloth), 2231 nucleotides. RefSeq lists it as uncharacterized. The transcript is spliced from 4 exons. The record is from RefSeq and is a predicted model, not a curated record. NCBI's taxonomy places the organism in Eukaryota, Metazoa, Chordata, Mammalia, Pilosa, Megalonychidae.